AGUAGUUUCAAUAGAGGUGUGCC
RNAcentral lists this non-coding RNA (23 nucleotides) under Rattus norvegicus (Norway rat). Lineage: Eukaryota; Metazoa; Chordata; Mammalia; Rodentia; Muridae. The record is from RNAcentral.